Long non-coding RNA from Cyprinus carpio carpio, 1563 nucleotides. NCBI's taxonomy places the organism in Eukaryota, Metazoa, Chordata, Actinopteri, Cypriniformes, Cyprinidae. The record is from Ensembl.
AUGGCCGCCAGCCCAGCGCCGCUGCGCAGAAUGACUGCCGACCCAGCACCAUUGCACAGGAUGGCCACCAAUCCCGCACCACGAGGCAAGAUGGAAGCCAGACCAACACCACAGCACAAGAUGGCCGCCAGCUCAGCGCCACGAGGCAAGAUGGACACCAGGUCAGCGCCACAGCACAAGAUGGCCGCCAGCCCAGAGCCACUGCGCAGAAUGGCCGCCGGCCCAGCACCACUGCCCAUGAUGGCCGCAGGUCCAGCGACACUGCACAAGAUGGCCAUCAGCCCAGCGCCACGAGGCAAGAGGGACGCCAGCCCAGCGCCACAGCACAAGGUGGUCACCAGCCCAGCGCCACAGCACAAGGUGGUCACCAGCCCAGCGCCACGGUGCAAGAUGGCCGCCAGCUCAGCGCCAACGCCCAAGAUGGCCGCUGAGGCGUUUUUGGAUUAUUUCUCCAUGCUGUCUAAGAUCCUAGAGAUUCCAGUUGACCCUCCAGAGUCGAGUCCGGUUCCAGUUGACCCUCCAGAGUCGAGUCCGGUUCCAGUUGACCCUCCAGAGUCGAGUCCGGUUCCAGUUGACCCUCCAGAGUCGAGUCCGGUGCUCGUGGACCCUCCAAAGUCAGGGUUAGUCACCGUCGACCUUCCGGAGUCAGGUUUAGUCACCGUCGACCUUCCGGAGUCAGGGUUAGUCACCAGUGACCUUCAAGGACCGAGUCAAGUCACCGGUGAUCUUCAUGAACAAGGGCAAGUCACCGGUGAUCUUCAUGAACAAAGGCAAGUCACCACUGAUCUUCAUGAACAAGUGCAAGUCACCAAUGAUCUUCAUGAACAAGUGCAAGUCACCAAUGAUCUUCAGGAGCAGAGUCAAGUCAGCAUCGAUCUUCUGGAAUCCAGUAUAAACACCAUGGGAUUACCAGAGUCUCGUCACUCCUCUGUGGAACUACCACAGCCUCUCCAGGUCUCGGAUGAACUACCAGAACCAUUCCACGUCUCUGCUGAACUACCAGAGUCUCUCCUCGCCUUUGCGGAACUUCCAGAGACUCGUCAUGUCUCAGUAGAUCUCUCUGGGCACCCGACUGUUCCUGUGGAGGCCACGGAGGCUACCCUUAACAUGUUCAUGUUCUGUGUUUCAGACUUGCCCAACCAGACUUGUCCUCCUGUUGGUCCGGCCGCACGGUUGUGGUGGUCUUCUGCUCCGCCCUGGGGGACUCCGAUCUCGACCACACGGACAUGGUGGUCUUCUGCUCCGCCCUGGGGGGCUUCCGCCCUGACCACAUGGUUGUGGUGGUCUUCUGCUCCGCCCUGGGGGGCGUCCGUCCCGACCACACGGUUAUGGUUGUCUUCUGCGCCGCCCUGGUGGGCGUCACGUGAUGUCCUUCUUGGACUUGUGUUUUUGAGUAUUUUUUGUUGUUUUUUUUGGUCUGUCUUUCUUUCGGUUUCCUCCUAUGGACCUGGCCCUCCAUCCCUCCCCCUGAUCCUCCGCCGGUCCACCUCCCUCCUGGGUUUCUUGUCUGUGUCUUUCGUUCCGUUUCCCUCUAAGGACCUGGUCCUCCGUCCCUCCCCCUGA